GAUGAACGCUGGCGGCGUGCCUAACACAUGCAAGUCGAGCGGAAAUAUUCAGAAGUAUACGUACGGAUGGAUAUUUUAGCGGCGGACGGGUGAGUAACACGUGAGCAACCUACCUUUUGCUGGGGAAUAACAUCGGGAAACCGAUGCUAAUACCGCAUGACAUUCCGAUGGGGCAUCCUGUUGGAAUCAAAGGAGAGAUCCGGCAAGAGAUGGGCUCGCGUCCGAUUAGCUGGUUGGUGAGGUAACGGCUCACCAAGGCGACGAUCGGUAGCCGGACUGAGAGGUUGGACGGCCACAUUGGGACUGAGACACGGCCCAGACUCCUACGGGAGGCAGCAGUGGGGAAUAUUGGGCAAUGGGGGAAACCCUGACCCAGCAACGCCGCGUGAAGGACGAAGGCCUUCGGGUCGUAAACGUUCUUGAUCAGGGACGAAAGCGAUGACGGUACCUGAGGAACAAGCCACGGCUAACUACGUGCCAGCAGCCGCGGUAAGCACGAGAGUAC
This 505-nucleotide ribosomal RNA is filed under the name uncultured bacterium. Its description in RNAcentral is "bacterial SSU rRNA". It matches the Rfam family "Bacterial small subunit ribosomal RNA", at positions 28 to 534 of the family's 1533-position model. The record is from RNAcentral.